Molecule: microRNA precursor, 78 nt
Filed under: Schistosoma margrebowiei
Lineage: Eukaryota; Metazoa; Platyhelminthes; Trematoda; Strigeidida; Schistosomatidae
Description: mir-3492 microRNA precursor family
Rfam family: mir-3492 microRNA precursor family
Source: Rfam by way of RNAcentral
AGCCUUCUGAAUCCAUGCUGAGAUUUCGUCAGAUACCAGCCCACUAGGGCUGAUCAGACUUCCAAGAUAACUGAAGUU